CUUGGACAUACAAGGUAUUGUAAUAAGACUUUAAUUGAGUGCUAAAAGAAUGGAAUUACAAAAAAAGGCUUUUUUAAUUUUAAAAAUUAAAAUUAUUUUUUUUUGUGAAGAAACAAAAAUUUAAAUUAAAGACAAGAAGACCCUAAGAAUUUUUUUUUUUAUUAAAAAAAAAUUUUAUUUUAAAAAUUUAAUUGGGGCGAUUAAUUAAUAUUAAAAACUUUAUUAACAAAAAAAAUGAUCCAUUAUUAAUGAUUAUUUGAUUAAAAUACUCUAGGGAUAACAGCGUAAUAAUUUUUGAUAGUUCUUAUAAAAAAAAUAGUUUGCGACCUCAAUGUUGGAUUAGGAUUCUUUUUUAAUGAAAAAGUUAAAAAAAAAAGUUUGUUCAACUUUUAAAUUCCUACUUGAUCUGAGUUCAAACCGGA
Molecule: ribosomal RNA, 422 nt
Filed under: Amblyomma dissimile (iguana tick)
Lineage: Eukaryota; Metazoa; Arthropoda; Arachnida; Ixodida; Ixodidae
Description: partial large subunit ribosomal RNA
Source: RNAcentral